Molecule: RNase P RNA, 335 nt
Filed under: Acidobacteriota bacterium
Lineage: Bacteria; Pseudomonadati; Acidobacteriota
Description: Acidobacteria bacterium RNase P RNA component class A
Rfam family: Bacterial RNase P class A
About the family: Ribonuclease P (RNase P) is a ubiquitous endoribonuclease, found in archaea, bacteria and eukarya as well as chloroplasts and mitochondria. Its best characterised activity is the generation of mature 5'-ends of tRNAs by cleaving the 5'-leader elements of precursor-tRNAs.
Source: RNAcentral
GAAGAAAGGCGAACUGCCGCGGGUGAGAGCCCGAGGAAAGUCCGAACUCCGAAGGACAGUGUGCCGGGUAACGCCCGGGCGCCGUGAGGCGACGGAAAGUGCCACAGAAAAUAUACCGCCGGUAACGGUAAGGGUGAAAUGGCGAGGUAAGAGCUCACCGCCUGUCCAGCGAUGGGCAGGGCAGGGUAAACCCCACAUGGAGCAAGGCCAAAUAGGGAAACGUUUAAAGGUUGUCCGCCUGAGUUUCCGGGUAGGCCGCUUGAGGUUGUCAGUAAUGGCAGUCCCAGAUGAAUGGCAGUUCUUGACAGAAUUCGGCUUACAGCCUUUCUUCCAUU